This 251-nucleotide ribosomal RNA is filed under the name uncultured bacterium. Its description in RNAcentral is "partial 16S ribosomal RNA". It matches the Rfam family "Bacterial small subunit ribosomal RNA", at positions 525 to 775 of the family's 1533-position model. The record is from RNAcentral.
ACGGAGGAUCCGAGCGUUAUCCGGAUUUAUUGGGUUUAAAGGGAGUGUAGAUGGAUGUUUAAGUCAGUUGUGAAAGUUUGCGGCUCAACCGUAAAAUUGCAGUUGAUACUGGAUAUCUUGAGUGCAGUUGAGGCAGGCGGAAUUCGUGGUGUAGCGGUGAAAUGCUUAGAUAUCACGAAGAACUCCGAUUGCGAAGGCAGCCUGCUAAGCUGCAACUGACAUUGAGGCUCGAAAGUGUGGGUAUCAAACAG